GGCUCAAUGGUCUAGUCGUAGGAUUCUGCUUUCGGGUAGCAGAGGUCCCGGGUUCAAUUCCCGGUUGAGCCU
Non-coding RNA from Neoconidiobolus thromboides FSU 785, 72 nucleotides. The record is from the annotation of a GenBank genome assembly. Lineage: Eukaryota; Fungi; Entomophthoromycota; Entomophthoromycetes; Entomophthorales; Neoconidiobolaceae.